Nymphaea colorata (pocket water lily) is the source of this 6583-nucleotide long non-coding RNA. RefSeq lists it as uncharacterized. The record is from RefSeq and is a predicted model, not a curated record. Lineage: Eukaryota; Viridiplantae; Streptophyta; Magnoliopsida; Nymphaeales; Nymphaeaceae. The transcript is spliced from 3 exons.
CACAAAAAUGACAUGGCUCAAGUUGCAGAAAAGAAAGGUCAGAUAGCCAACACACCCUAUGGAACUGAACCAAACUCUCAUUGGAUGCACUUCCAUCCUGCUGAAACAGUUAAGAGCUUUUCCUUGUCAAUAGUAUCAUUUCAUAUCACAUGCUUACAUCUCCACGGGAAAUAUAAGCCCUACUAGUGGUACUCUAUGAACCAGUAGCCAGGAUCCCACUAUUUUCCAACAUUGUGUUGAAUGCCGCACAGAAAAAAUCCCACGAAACAUGACCAACAUAGUUCUUUUAGUGAGAAACAGACACUUCAUGGUGAUUAUUGAUGCAGAAGCGGGCUUAUGGCUUACCAAGAGGUUUGAAAGUCAACAACUCUAAUAUCUAAAGUUUGUGAUAAAAAAAAUUACCUUGAAAGGAAUCAAUUUCAAAUGUUGAUUUUCCAGAUAAAUUAAACACAUAAAGUGCAUUCUAUGUCACACAGACGCGCCAAAACAGGUACCACAGACGCGUCGAUGCAAUGUGAUUACUGCUACACAAGGAUAUCUGCCCUCUGUCCAAGUAGGGUGCAGCUGAGUCGCUGACAACACCCAAUAGAUUCUGUCCAUAGCAACUAUACUGCCACUUCAAAGAAAGGGAAAAAAGAAUUGCUUCAACUUCAUCACUGGUGUCUUAAUCGUCUCUCUGCUUCCGGCGACCAGCGAUGUGAGCAGCAAUGGCACAAUGUGGGCACUGAUGGUAAUGCACAACUGAGGAUAGGAGCAGCAAUCACAGCCCCAACAUUCUGAAACCCUCCGCCACAGUCCUCCCUAAAAUAAAUGUUUUCCCCUCUUUCUCUCACAAUUCCGUAAGGGGGCGUUUGAUGAACAGGAAAUACACUGUUCAUCGAGAAAUAAAAUUCAAAAAUUUAAAUUUUUUCCACUUAAUCAAACGGAGAAAUAUUUAUUCGACCGUUGAGCUUGAUUCCCGAAAAUUUUUUCCGGAAAAAAUUUUCCACCUGAAGAGACGGAAAAUUUUUUCCGGAAAUAAAUUUUUGACCGUUGAACGCGAGCGCUCCCUUUUCGCGUCUUCCUUCCUGUGCCGCAGCCCCUCUUCUUUCUCGUCGUCCCACAGCCGCGUCGUCUCACAGCCGCUCCCUCCACUCCACCCGAGUAGUGCAGCCGCGAGCCUCCCGUUCCUCUCUUUCUCGCAUGGUAGUGUCUCUCUCUCUCUCUCAUUCUCUCUCUUGUUCCCCUCUCCCUCUCACUCUCACUUCUGUCGCCCUUUUCUACUGCGUGUGAAUGACAUGGACACAUAGCGCGGCAGUCAGAGGCAGCAGCAAACGGGAGGGGAACUCUGUCUCGGGUGCCCCUUUCUCCCUCUCCGGCAAAUGCAGGCUGCGCUCUCACUCUCUGGCCAGCCCAGAUUUCUAAUGAAUGACCAAAUUAGCUGCUGUUUCAUUUCUGUUUUUCAUAUGACCAGUGAUGUUUCCAUUUGGUUCUUAGAUCGGUUUGAUGUUCAGUGGAUGAACCUUGAGGGUCGUCAGAUUUUGGUAUGGAGAAGAAAAAGGGGGUUGCUUUCUAAUGCUUUAAAACAAAGAAGUUGCUUUCUUAACCAUUGUUCUCACUCAAUCUGAGGAUCUUUUUCAAACUAAACAAAGAAAGGAUAGUUGUACUUUGUUUUAGUGCAGAGAUUAUACCUUUUGUUUUAUUUCCCCCUUUUUGCUUCAACCAAAGUUUUGGAUGUCCAGGCAAUUACAGUGAACGGUGGGUUACAGGAAACUGAUGUCAUGUUUAUUCACAAGCAUGGACGAAGAACUGUCUCAUCUCUUAACAUUAUCUGCUCUACAGCAGUAAAAGGACUAGCCUACAAGUCUGGCACUGUAUGCUUAUUUUGUAGAAUUGUAGAAGCUGGAUUUAGGGUCAUUGCAUAAAAAAUCCGAUGUUCAGUCAUCCAGGACUAGCCUACUCUUAAUUUUGUGCUUCAUUUCUGUUUAAAUACAUAAUUUGGUCCGUUUUACUAUCAUUUGUUGAUCAUUAUUUGAGGAUCCAGUCAUGUUCAAGCUGAGUAUAAUGUUUUUUAGGUUUAGUGGCAUUUCGUGCCUGCCACAUGCCACAUAGGCUAGGUCUAAUGUUAGAUUGAGCAAUCUGGGUCGGCUUGAAGGCAGAGGAUCUCAGAGUGCUACAACACUGGGCUACCGGAUCUGCACUCCAUUCAGGGGCAUAUUCAGUGAUUUCUUUUCUGAUGGAGGCCUUGCCAACUAAUGUCAGAUCAGAGAUGCACCUUCUCUUGAGGUUUUAGUUUGAUGAGUACUUAUGGAACUUCACCAAGCCAUUUGCUCAGGAAGGGCACAGAGCCCAUUUUCUGCAAGGCGACAAAUGCAUUCCUGAAAUAAGAGCUCUAUUUCCUUCUGACUACAACCCAUUUUAUGCUGGAUUUGGGAACAGAGACACUGAUGAGCUCAGCUACAGGAAGAUUGGUAUACCAAAAGGAAAAAUAUUUAUUAUAAAUCCCAAGGGUGAAGUGGCCAUUGAUAAUUGCGUUGAUUCAAGGUCAUAUUGUUCUUUGCAUACGCUAGUGAAUGAUAUGUUCCCCCCAACGUCUCCGGAGCAGGUUUGUUUCUCUCCACUUUUCCUUUUCUUUGCCCUGUUUUGGGUUAUGUGCUUGCUUUCUGGCUGCCUAUAAACAGUGGAAUUGAUGGUCAGAUUAGUGUUGAUAAAGUUGUUAAUGAUAAUGAUUGGUUGUUGGAUUAGUGUUGAUAAAAUUUUUAGGCUUGUUGCUGUGAAUCGAUUUUGCAACUUGUCUUAGCGGAAAUAGCUUUCAUGGGUAAUGUUGAAUGAUCUUAUGCAUUAUAUCAUGUUGAACUUGGUUUUUCUUGUAUAUUUCUUAAUCAGCGUGCUCUAUAUAUUUCUUAGCGGAAACAGCUUUCAUGUAUAUUUCUUAAUCAGCGUGCUUGUAUAGUUUUUCUUGUUAGAUCAUGUUGAACUUGGUUCCUCUUCCUUGUGUACGUGGUUUCAUGUUCCUCUCUUCUAAAUCUAAAAAAAUAUUUCCUUAUUAUCAAACCAAGAAUUAAUUUUAUGAAAAUCUAGAAAUAUAUUUCUUUUUCAUCAAACAUAGAAAUAUAUUUCUGGAAACAUAUUUCCAAAUCAUCACACACACACCAAAAUUGGAAUCGGAAAACUUUUUCCCAUUCCAUUUUUCCAUUUCCUAUAUUUCCGGAAAUAUAUUUCCAGAAAUAUAUUUACAGGCCAUCAAACGGCCCCUAAAAGAAAGAUGAGGACACACUCUCUCUGUCUUUCCAUAAAAGACAACCUCCACCAUCAUCCGCUUAAAAGGACUACAUAGGUUGUCCUUCAUGAACAUCAUAAAGGAUAGAUGACACAGACAGUGUCAUCCUUCUAAAAGGAUGACACACUCAUUUCAACUUUUUUAAAAAGGGCUAAUACCCUUUAAGAUCAUGGACUAAAAUGGCCUUCAUAUAAAACUUUUUUUACAAUAGUGGAAGUCAAAGAAGAAAGUUGCACAAACAAAUCUUAUCUCUUUAACAGAUUAUAUACAUUACAUAUAUGUGUCUGUGUAUGUGUGUGUGUAGUCCUUGAAUCCUGAUUCUAACUUUUAAUUGUACAUACCAAUGUUAUCACUGGCGUAUCGUAUCGCGUAUCGGUCGGGCCGACCUAUACGCCGUAUCGUAACGUAUCGUAAAAUUAAUUUUUAAUUUGUAAAAAAUAUUAAAAAAUUAUAAAAAAAUAGAAAAAAAUCAGAAAAAUUUUAAAUAAAUUCGAAAAAACAAGAAAAAAUCAAGAAAAAUGUAUUUAAAGGAACAUUUAUCAUUCAUGUAUAUGAAGUAUGAACUAUGAAGUAUGAAUAUGAACAACACAUUCCAAAAUAAGAAAUCAGACAUUCAAAAAUCAAAAUAACAUACUAAGCAGCCGAAGAGUAUUCGAUUACAUCACAAUUCAUAAGUUCAGAAGUCAAAACAUAUAGACAUAGUUAUCAUCUUUCAUGAUCCAAAAAGCCCUCUUUCUCCAAGCUUUCCACUGUGCCCUCUACGAGAAAGAAAGCUAUCUCACGGGCAAAACUUAAAGCAAAUGAGGAAAAUCUCUUCCUCCCACGUCUCUUGCAAUGUUUAGAAACAAGAAGAGAGAGAGAGAGGAGCAUAUCUUUUGAAAUAAAAUGAAAAAAAGGGGCCAUCGGACCCUUUUGCCAUUUUUCCCCCGUAUCGUACGAUACGGGGGUGUAUCGACCGUAUCGUACGAUACGGGCGAUACGUCUACGAUACACCUCCGUAUCGUGUAUUGUAGGCGUGUCGUAUCGUUUUUGUUGAUACAGACGAUACGUAUCGUACGAUACGCGUCCGUAUCGUACAAUACGCGUCCGUAUCGUACGAUACGGAUAACAUUGGUACAUACAGCUAUGUUGUUAAGGCCUCGCCUAAGCCUCGCCUAGGCUUGGACUAAGCGUGAGUCCACACCCGUCGCCUAAGUCCACCACUUAGGCGACGGGUAUAUGUUGACUUAGGCGACGGGGUAUAUGUUGUUAGGAAAUAAGAUAUCUUGUUGAUAUCAUAGCUAGAUUAGGUUUUACAUUUUUUACAUUUUAUUUUCAUUUUUAUGUAUUUUAUUAUUUCUUUUAUUUUUCUUUUCUUUUCUUUUAUUUUCCUUUUCUUUUUCUUUUCUUUUCUUUUCUUUUUCUUUUCUUUUAUUUUUCCUUUUCUUUUUCUUUUUGUUUCCCCUUUGUUCUAGCCGUUGGGAGUUCCAACGGCUCCUUUAUGAGCCGUUGGAACCUCCAACGGCUAGAACAACCCUCUCUUCCUUCUCUCCUUCACUCUAAUUGGUUAUAUAUAUUCUUGGGCUGCCUCUUGUACAAAGUAUGCUGUUUUACACAGCCAUUUGACAUUCAUUCAAUAAGAUUGAUAUAUUUCAAGUGGCCUUAGUGCCUUUUUCUAUCAUAUUCUUCUUUAGUGACUAUUAUAGUCACAUUUAUAUAUGUUGGCGCCUAGGCUGGCUUAGGCUCCAACACGGCUAGUCCAUGGGAAAAUGAAAAGUCACAUUCCCUUUCAAUUAAAGUUUCUCAAUUGAGUAUAUAUCGCUAUGUACUUUAUGUCGUAUUGAUUACGUAUUCUUAUGUAUUGUUACGUUGAUUAUGUUGUUAUAUGUAUAUAGUAUUAGUCACUUGGUCUGUUAUACAUUCGGAUGGUUAUGUCUCUCUUUAGUACAAAUGGAUUACAGUCUUCUUGUGGAUUUACAUUCCUUCUACUAGAGAUUAGAUCUAGUUUUUUUUUUCUUGUAUUAGAUUACAUUUAAUGAGUAAUGUUAAACUUCGUCUACUGAUUUUGCAUAUUCAAUGAAGAAAAGUUGAAAACAAUUAAAUUUUGAUUGUUUAAGUUGAUUAUGCUUGUUAUAUUAGUACUCUCCAUAUUUCAAAUAUUAAUAAUGGUUAAUCAAAAUAACUUGACAUAUUAACAGAACUAAAAAAAUAAAAUAAAAUAAUGGUCAUCUUUCUUGCCUAUCUUUCUUGCCUAGGCCUGCAUAGGCGCUAGGCGCCGUGACAACAUAGACAUCCAGGGACAUCGAAUGUGGGCCGUCCAAUCUAAAAUCGGACAGCCCACUCUCUCUCUCUCUCUCUCUCUCUCUCUCUCUCUCUCUCUCUCUCCCCCCUCUGGGCAACACUGGGGGAAGCCAGCCAACCGCACCAGCACCGCCGUCAAGCGACAGGCGAGAUGAAUCCCCCCUUUUUUGUCCCUCACGAUGGACGAAAGGGGGAGGAGGAACCCUCCCCCUCCCCACUUCCUCCACUGUUGUGCACGAUGGGGAAAAAAAAAGGAAAAUUCAAAAAAAUAUUUCUAACAAGCCGUCCAUCAAUUUUGAUGGAUGGCCUAGGUUUGAUGUUCCCAAAUGUCAUGGGGAAGCUGGCAUCACGGUUCAGUUUUCCUAUAUAUAUAUAUAUAUAUAUAUAUAGAGAGAGAGAGAGAGAGACACACACACACACACAAACACACACCCCUCGCCACACCCCCACCUAAAAUUUUUGAAAAUUAUCAGACCUGGACUCGCAGCCACACGCCACAACUGUGUAACAUAGAGUGCAUCUAUAAACCUCACAAACAAUUACUUUCAAUAGAUGACAUCGGUCAGUAGCACAUAUUUCUCCAUAUUCUUGUAACCAUGACUGCAUGCUGAAGGUAGACCACAAUCUGGUACGAUGAAAUUGAGCUUGGAAUGUCAUUCUUAGUAAUCCACAGGAUCUGUCUCAUAUUUAGACCUACAUCCAGCAUUAGGAAGGCUGACCAGAUCACCUACAGUUUCAUGUAACCUGAAUGGGGCAAAUAGAAUACUGUGCACAAGUCUACUCAAGUAUGAGUUCACCAAUCAGUGCAGCUAUUUGUAUUGCUUGAUAAUAUACUUCACAUUCUAAUUCGAUUACCACACACUUCAAUAAAUGCUAAUGUAUAGGCAUCUUUUAGAUUUAUAUAAGCUUCUACCUACUUAUACAUUCAUAAAACACAUGAUUGUUGAAACCACAGCUGUAAUCAUGUGAUAUAGAUUUUAAUGAGAAAAAAAAACAAUAAAAAACGAGAGUGAGCUUAUCGUUGGAUUCUGCAUAGUUCAGUGA